This 821-nucleotide long non-coding RNA is filed under the name Homo sapiens (human). RNAcentral describes it as "non-protein coding lnc-ALPL-2:1". Lineage: Eukaryota; Metazoa; Chordata; Mammalia; Primates; Hominidae. The record is from RNAcentral.
CGUAAAAGCAAUUGGUGAGAAAAAUUAAAGAAGACUAAAUAGAGAAAUAUAUAUCAUGUUCAUUGAUUGGAAGAUUCAAUUUUGUUAGCAUAUUACCUCAACAGAAUUCUGAUUAAUAUUUCUAGUAGGAGAUUUUAGAGAAAUGUAAAAGCUAAUUUCAAAAUAUAUUUGAAAAUCCAAGAACCUAGAAUAGGCAAGUCGGUCUUGAAGAAGCAGUAAGUUGGAGGACUUACUCUGCUAGACUUCAAACCUGAUUUAAAAGCUACAGUAAUUUAAAAUGGUAGUACUGGUGUAAGUAUUCAUAAAUAUAUCAAAGUAAAAGAAUACAGAUUCAAACAAUAUGACCACAUAUGUAGUUAUUUAUUUUAGUAGAAUCUUUUUUAUUCAUAAAAAAUCCCUCCAAAACGUUUUCCAAGAACACACAGGAGGGCUAUGGGUAGAGGAAGGUGUCUGUCCAUCUAUCCCUGGCCCCCAGCCCAUGUGGUUUUGGCAGCAAUAGGGGUGUGGGGUAAUGUCCCCCAAAAUUAAAAUGGUAUAUGUGUGUAUGAGAAGGAAAGGGGGGCAAAGCUGUGGGGAACGGUUGAGGGGAAGGAACAAAGGAGGUCAGUACUGGGAACGUUAAGUAGGCACAAACAACCGAAAAAUAGAUAAAUGGACUUCAUUAAAAUAAAAAACUUAUAUGCUUCAAAGGACACUGUCAAGGAAGUGAAAAGAUAAUCCACAUAAUGGGAGAACUAUUUCCAAAUUAUAUGUUUGACACAGGUCUAGUACCUAGAGUAUAUAAGGAAUUCAUAUAACUGAGCAAUAAACGACAACCACAU